GAGAGAGAGAGAGAGAGAGAGAGAGAGAGAGAGAGAGAGACAGAGAGAGAGAGAGAGAGAGAGAGAGAGAGAGAGAGAGAGAGAGAGAGAGAGAGAGAGAGAGAGAGAGAGAGAGAGAGAGAGAGAGAGAGAGAGAGAGCCUAGGACUAGGCUGACUAGUACAUAGGCCUAUAUUACGACAUAGUUAAUAGAGGAGAUGGUUUGGAAACUCAUUAGCAUUACAAUAAACCUCACUAUCUAUGUUUUUGUUCAGGUUUAUGCAAAAAUGUGGUCUUUCAUCGUCACGUGCAUAUUGUAUUUUUGCUCAACCAGCCAAUAGCAACGGUUUUAAUUUGUCCAAUUGCCCAUCCAUGACUUUAACAAUAGGACAUUUUGAACAUUCCUAUUGGUUGACUUGAGAAAAAUACAAUACGCACGUGUCGAUGAAAGACCACAUUUUUGCAUACUGCCUGAACAACAUAGAUAAUGAGGUUUAAUUGUGAUUUUAUUGUAAUGCUAACGAGUUUCCAGACCAUCUCCUCUAUUAACUAUGAUUACGAGAAGCUUAUAUUUGCUUGUCGUGGGCUCAAUAUUUGCAUAUUACCAGUCAUUGAACAGUGAUUAAUCCACCUAAACAAUGCCUGAGCGAUCAUGCCUGUAAAAUAAUGCGACAGACAAAUACGAGUAUGUUCUUAGUCGUUAGAGCAUUGACAAUCCAGAAGACAUCUGGAUUGUCUACAUAUGCAUGGUUAGAGUUAGUACACGUUGAGGAUUAAUUAGUUUAUUUUUGCGAGAUAUUUUGAAAUUCUAUUUUUUGUGGAUAUCUAAAGCAAAGCCAUUAACAGUUGUUAAAGGAUGAUUACAAACCAUGCAACCAUAGUGAAUAAAUGGGAAGAUUCAAGAUUGCCUUAAAAUCGGGCGGGAGCGUAUUUUUGAGGGCAUAAAUCAACA
Paramuricea clavata is the source of this 930-nucleotide non-coding RNA. NCBI's taxonomy places the organism in Eukaryota, Metazoa, Cnidaria, Anthozoa, Malacalcyonacea, Plexauridae. The record is from the annotation of a GenBank genome assembly.